CGGCUCCCAGCGGCGUGUUCCUCUUUCCCGGGGUUUCCACCUUCCUGGUAGGUGGGCGCCGAAGCGUCGGCCUCUCACCUCGGCUCGCGUCGUGCUCCGGCCACUCGCCCCCAGCCCCCAGCCCCCCAGCCUCCAGCCCCCGGAGCCCUGCGGUGGGUCGCACUCCUCUCCCGGCAGCAGACCCAUGGCCGAGCGUGGGGAACUCGACCUGACCGGCGCCAAGCAGAACACCGGCGUGUGGCUGGUCAAGGUUCCUAAAUAUUUGUCACAGCAGUGGGCUAAAGCCCCUGGAAGAGGUGAAGUCGGGAAACUGCGGAUUGCCAAGAAUCAAGGAAGGACUGAGGUGUCAUUUACUUUGAAUGAGGAUCUUGCAAAUAUUCAUGAUAUUGGUGGAAAACCAGCUUCAGUAAGCGCUCCUAGAGAACAUCCAUUUGUCUUGCAAAGUGUUGGAGGACAAACUUUAACAGUGUUUACUGAGAGCUCAUCAGAUAAGCUUUCAUUGGAAGGAAUAGUGGUACAAAGAGCUGAAUGCCGACCUGCUGCAAGUGAAAACUACAUGAGAUUAAAGAGAUUGCAAAUAGAAGAAUCUUCUAAACCUGUACGGCUAUCACAACAACUGGACAAAGUUGUGACAACCAAUUACAAACCUGUUGCCAAUCAUCAAUACAAUAUUGAAUAUGAAAGGAAAAAGAAAGAAGAUGGAAAACGAGCUCGAGCUGAUAAACAAUAUGUUUUAGACAUGCUAUUUUCAGCUUUUGAGAAACAUCAGUAUUAUAACCUUAAGGACUUGGUGGACAUCACAAAACAGCCUGUGGUGUACCUGAAGGAAAUCUUAAAAGAAAUUGGUAUUCAGAAUGUGAAAGGGAUCCACAAAAACACAUGGGAGCUGAAGCCAGAGUAUAGGCAUUAUCAGGGAGAAGAAAAGAGUGAUUAAGAAGACUCCAAGCCAGCAUGCUAACAGAACAACUAAGGGUGAUGUGUUAAGCAUACGACAUUGAUACUUGAACUUGAGCACCAUGUGUUAUAGGGGCAAAAUGACUGAUAUUUUAAUUUCUCUAGCUCCAGGCCCAGAAAAGCAGCGAAACAGAUAAGCAACACCAGGGCUGACCUCGAGACCAGCUGCAUUGACUAAUAACACCCCCCACCUCCACCCCCACUCUGGUGACAACCAAUCCAUAGAGACUACGGCCCUGAAAGGACACAACUGGGAAGCUGAUGAACAUUAUAUUGGGCUCCUCCCCUGAGACCUCCAGAUAAAUACCCUCAAGACAGAGAACCCAGUGGGGUCUCCCUACUCCCUUUCCCAGGAGCAUUUUCCUUGCCUCUCUGUUUCUCCUAAGUUCUAAGGGUCCUUCCUUUGCCUCUGUAACUUGUUUCCUAAGCCCAUUUCUUCUAUGGCUCACUUCUCCUACCUUUGUGACUUUCUAAAUGAACUUUGGCUUAUAUUUGAGUCUUGGAUCUGAGUUCUU
This is an RNA transcript of Eptesicus fuscus (big brown bat), 1469 nucleotides long. It is a transcript of the gene named general transcription factor IIF subunit 2, with no coding region annotated. The transcript is spliced from 9 exons. NCBI's taxonomy places the organism in Eukaryota, Metazoa, Chordata, Mammalia, Chiroptera, Vespertilionidae. The record is from RefSeq and is a predicted model, not a curated record.